This 301-nucleotide ribosomal RNA is filed under the name uncultured bacterium. Its description in RNAcentral is "partial 16S ribosomal RNA". It matches the Rfam family "Bacterial small subunit ribosomal RNA", at positions 509 to 807 of the family's 1533-position model. The record is from RNAcentral.
CAGCAGCCGCGGUAAUACGUAGGGUGCGAGCGUUAAUCGGAAUUACUGGGCGUAAAGCGUGCGCAGGCGGUUCGUUAAGACAGAUGUGAAAUCCCCGGGCUUAACCUGGGAACUGCAGUUGUGACUGACGGGCUAGAGUAUGGCAGAGGGGGGUAGAAUUCCACGUGUAGCAGUGAAAUGCGUAGAGAUGUGGAGGAAUACCGAUGGCGAAGGCAGCCCCCUGGGCCAAUACUGACGCUCAUGCACGAAAGCGUGGGGAGCAAACAGGAUUAGAUACCCCUGUAGUCCCUGUCUCUUAUAC